Molecule: ribosomal RNA, 311 nt
Filed under: Pseudomonas aeruginosa
Lineage: Bacteria; Pseudomonadati; Pseudomonadota; Gammaproteobacteria; Pseudomonadales; Pseudomonadaceae
Description: partial 23S ribosomal RNA
Rfam family: Bacterial large subunit ribosomal RNA
Source: RNAcentral
UUUCGGCUAGGGGGUCAUCCCGACUUACCAACCCGAUGCAAACUACGAAUACCGAAGAAUGUUAUCACGGGAGACACACGGCGGGUGCUAACGUCCGUCGUGAAGAGGGAAACAACCCAGACCGCCAGCUAAGGUCCCAAAGUCAUGGUUAAGUGGGAAACGAUGUGGGAAGGCACAGACAGCCAGGAUGUUGGCUUAGAAGCAGCCAUCAUUUAAAGAAAGCGUAAUAGCUCACUGGUCGAGUCGGCCUGCGCGGAAGAUGUAACGGGGCUAAACCAUGCACCGAAGCUGCGGCAGCGACACUAUGUGUU